GGUUAAGUGAAUAAGGGCGCACGGUGGAUGCCUUGGCACUAGGAGCCGAUGAAGGACGGGACUAACACCGAUAUGCUUUGGGGAGCUGUAAGUAAGCUAUGAUCCAGAGAUUUCCGAAUGGGGGAACCCAAUAUCUUUUAUAGGAUAUUACUUUUCAGUGAAUACAUAGCUGAUUAGAGGUAGACGCAGAGAACUGAAACAUCUUAGUACCUGCAGGAAGAGAAAGAAAAUUCGAUUCCCUGAGUAGCGGCGAGCGAAACGGGAAGAGCCCAAACCAACAAGCUUGCUUGUUGGGGUUGUAGGACUCCAAUAUGGUAGUCUGUUAGUAUAGUUGAAGGAUUUGGAAAAUUCCGCUAAAGAGGGUGAAAGCCCCGUAGACGAAAUGCUAACAACACCUAGGAGGAUCCUGAGUACGGCGGAACACGAGAAAUUCCGUCGGAAUCCGCGGGGACCAUCCCGCAAGGCUAAAUACUCCCUAGU
This 480-nucleotide ribosomal RNA is filed under the name Enterococcus faecalis. RNAcentral describes it as "partial 23S ribosomal RNA". It matches the Rfam family "Bacterial large subunit ribosomal RNA", at positions 1 to 481 of the family's 2925-position model. Lineage: Bacteria; Bacillati; Bacillota; Bacilli; Lactobacillales; Enterococcaceae. The record is from RNAcentral.